RNAcentral lists this ribosomal RNA (1233 nucleotides) under Spelaeorhynchus praecursor. Its description in RNAcentral is "eukaryotic LSU rRNA". It matches the Rfam family "Eukaryotic large subunit ribosomal RNA", at positions 129 to 1244 of the family's 3401-position model. The record is from RNAcentral. Lineage: Eukaryota; Metazoa; Arthropoda; Arachnida; Mesostigmata; Spelaeorhynchidae.
UUUAGUGCCGUAAGAUAUGAGGCAUAAUGAUGUUUAUUUUAUUUAGCAAGUCCUACUGCGUUAACUAUUAUUGAGUGAAUGCUCAUAGAGGGUGAGAAGCCCGUGUUGCGGUAUGCGUCUACUAAAACAAAGCAUCAUAGAGUCUAGUUGUUUGGGAGUACAGCUUAAAGUUGGUGGUAAAUUUCAUCAAAGGCUGAAUAUAUCGAGGAACUAAUAGCGAACAAGUACCAUGAGGGAAAGUUGAAAAGAACUCUGAAGAGAGAGUUAAAUAGUACGUGAAACCAUACGGAGUAAAACAAAUAACUGUGUUGUUUUCCACACGCUCUCUCAACAGUAAAACCGGCUUUACGGACCUUUUGUUGAAGACUGUAAAUCUCGGUCAGUUGAUUAAGGAUAGUAUUGCUGGCAUUUCUGUGUACUAGUGCGUGUUUUACCAUUGAGAGGCUAUGCUGUAGCGGGGAAUGUUAGUGUAUUAGCUUGCACUUGCUGCGGAGAUAUGUACUUACCCGUUUGACGGCGUAGCUUCGCGAGGAAGCGUCUAAGGGGUCGCGUUUGUCUGUAGAGAUGUGGCUGCGGUAAGCGGCGAUAUCAUAGCAUACAAGCGACUUAUUAUCAAUGGCUAGCAUUAGUUAUUUGACCCGUCUUGAAACACGGACCAAGGAGUUCAAAUGGCACGCAAGUCGAUGGGUUAUAGAACCUAAAGGCGAAGUGAAAUGCAAAUAUAUUGCUAAUUGUGGUUUUUCCGCAACUAAAUCAUAAGCUUCAAAUUCUAUUUGGUAUUUGGAGACUAUAAGCGUGAUGUUUGAGACCCGAAAGAUGGUGACCUAUGCCUAGUCAAGAUGAAGCUAGAGGAAACUCUGGUGGAGGUCUGAAGUUUUUCUGACGUGCAAAUCGAUAAUCUGAUUCGGGUAUAGGGGCGAAAGACUAAUCGAACCAUCUAGUAGCUGGUUCCUUCCGAAGUUUCCCUCAGGAUAGCAAGCGUGUAACUUAGUUUCAUCCCGUAAAGCGAAUGAUUAGAGGUAUUGGGGUAUAUUGAGCCUCAACCUAUUCUCAAACUUUUAAUGGGUGUGGGCGUUCUUUCUUAAUUGAUGAAUGCCGUCAAAUAAGUACGCUUAGUGGGCCAUUUUUGGUAAGCAGAACUGGCGCUGUGGGCUGAACCAAUUGCUGAGUUAAAGUGCCUAAGUCUGAAUGCGCAUAAUAUCUAAAAGGGUGUUAGUUGCUGAAGACAGCAGG